ACCAUCAACCUAUCAAACAUCUCUUGUGGCCCUUCAUCACUAAUAAUCACAAACCUAUUGAGCUUGGCCAUCAUCAAAUCAAUUUUGGCCUUCCUCACUUUGUCAACACCUUCAUGAGCUAAAACCAAAGUAUCCCAAAUUUGCUUGGCCACAUUCACAUUCAUCACCCGGUUGUACUCAUUUCCAUUGAGAGCACUAAGGAGAAUGCUUGUGGCUUGAUUAUUGAAGUGGACAGCAAUCAUUUCUUCAUUUGUUGG
Molecule: long non-coding RNA, 257 nt
Filed under: Sorghum bicolor (sorghum)
Lineage: Eukaryota; Viridiplantae; Streptophyta; Magnoliopsida; Poales; Poaceae
Description: long non-coding RNA (SBIC_LNC004321)
Source: RNAcentral